GCCGCCGUCCUACAGUUAAGACGCGCAGGCGUAUUAGGCUUAGAAAGAUUCGGGAACGUUAACAAAGAGACCGAAAAUAUAGAAACGGUUAGUAGUUUGCUAAGCAGAGACGGUUAGAGUUCAAAUUGCGUAGCUAGUAAUAAGACAAUAAAAUAAGAGUGAAUAUUAGCUGUAAAUGUUGUUUCUCUUAUUUGCAGAAACUCAAGGCAGUUAUAUUUCCAAGACAUCAUUCCUAUAAGAACCAUAUAGAAUAUACCUUAUAUAUAUA
This 268-nucleotide long non-coding RNA is filed under the name Polistes fuscatus (common paper wasp). Its description in RNAcentral is "uncharacterized LOC122520761". Lineage: Eukaryota; Metazoa; Arthropoda; Insecta; Hymenoptera; Vespidae. The record is from RNAcentral.